GACGUAGGGGGCGAGCGUUGUCCGGAAUUACUGGGCGUAAAGCGUGCGCAGGCGGUUCGUUAUGUCCGAUGUGAAAGCCCCGAGCUUAACUUGGGAAUGGCAUUGGAAACUGGCGGGCUGGAGUGCGGCAGAGGGGGGUGGAAUUCCACGUGUAGCAGUGAAAUGCGUAGAGAUGUGGAGGAACACCGAUGGCGAAGGCGGGAUCCUGGGCCAGUACUGACGCUGAGGAGCGAAAGCGUGGGGAGCAAACAGG
Molecule: ribosomal RNA, 253 nt
Filed under: uncultured bacterium
Lineage: Bacteria
Description: partial 16S ribosomal RNA
Rfam family: Bacterial small subunit ribosomal RNA
Source: RNAcentral